UACAGAGGGUGCUAGCGUUGUUCGGAAUUAUUGGGCGUAAAGAGCUCGUAGGCGGUUUGUUGCGUCGGCUGUGAAAUCCCGAGGCUCAACCUCGGGUCUGCAGUCGAUACGAGCAAACUAGAGUGUUGCAGGGGAGACUGGAAUUCCUGGUGUAGCGGUGAAAUGCGCAGAUAUCAGGAGGAACACCGGUGGCGAAGGCGGGUCUCUGGGCAACAACUGACGCUGAGGAGCGAAAGCGUGGGGAGCGAACAGG
RNAcentral lists this ribosomal RNA (253 nucleotides) under uncultured bacterium. RNAcentral describes it as "partial 16S ribosomal RNA". It matches the Rfam family "Bacterial small subunit ribosomal RNA", at positions 524 to 776 of the family's 1533-position model. The record is from RNAcentral.